CCGCCGGCGACCGGCGCACGGGUGAGUAACACGUAUGCAACCUGGCCGUGACAGAUGGAUAACCGGGAGAAAUCCCGCCUAAUACAACAUAAUGCCGGGAGGGGACAUCCCCUGCCGGUCAAAGGGGGCGACCCCGGUCACGGAUGGGCAUGCGGCGCAUUAGGUAGUUGGUGGGGUAACGGCCCACCAAGCCGACGAUGCGUAGGGGUUCUGAGAGGAAGGUCCCCCACAUUGGAACUGAGACACGGUCCAAACUCCUACGGGAGGCAGCAG
This 273-nucleotide ribosomal RNA is filed under the name uncultured bacterium. Its description in RNAcentral is "partial 16S ribosomal RNA". It matches the Rfam family "Bacterial small subunit ribosomal RNA", at positions 85 to 354 of the family's 1533-position model. The record is from RNAcentral.